AACGCGAAGAACCUUACCUGGGCUUGACAUGCUAGCAACACCCUGAAAGGGGUGCCCUGGGACGGUAGCACAGAUGCUGCAUGGCUGGAGCGUGGUGAAAUGUUGGGUUAAGCCGCAACGAGCGCAACCCCUGCCUAGUUGCAUAUAGGGAGACUGCCCCUAAAAGGGAGGAAGGUGGGGAUGACGAAGAGCAUGGCUUACGCAGGGCUACACACACGCUACAAUGGCAGGUACAGAGAGAAAACACCCGAGAGGGUAGCCACCCAGCGAUGGGGAGCAGACCCAAAGCCUGCCCCAGUAGAUUGCAGUGCAACCCGACUGCAUGAAGGCGGAGUUGCUAGUAACCGCGUGAGCAUAACGCGGUGAAUAUGUCCGGGUUGUACACACCG
Molecule: ribosomal RNA, 389 nt
Filed under: uncultured Actinomycetes bacterium
Lineage: Bacteria; Bacillati; Actinomycetota; Actinomycetes
Description: bacterial SSU rRNA
Rfam family: Bacterial small subunit ribosomal RNA
Source: RNAcentral